Molecule: long non-coding RNA, 622 nt
Organism: Salvia splendens (bonfire salvia)
Lineage: Eukaryota; Viridiplantae; Streptophyta; Magnoliopsida; Lamiales; Lamiaceae
Exons: 3
Source: RefSeq, a predicted model, not a curated record
GUUUUAAACUGCAUAUCCAUGAUUUCCGCCACUUUAAUUACAAUGACGAUACACAUUCCAUCAUUCUCACAACAAUUCACAAUUUCGCCUCCUCAAUUUCUCUCUCUCGUCGAAACCCAAACCUCCCAAAUCUGUGAAAAAUAAACCCUAGCUUUACUGUUUUGUUCUGAUUUGACGAUGCCGCCGGACACUGCAGUUGAAAUCGAUGCUGUGUUGCGUCGAUUGAAUGCAUCAGAUCCACUGGUUGUUCUGAUUUGAAGACGCCGCCGAAUAGGGUAGGAGAAAUCGACGACCUUUGCCACGUUAUUUCGAGAAAUCGUGGCUGAAGAACAAGCAUCCUGUAGCAAAACAAAACUGACAACAUGUUGAAGAGAGGAUCACCUUACAAGAGCCAACCAACUCAAAACACAGGUAGAAAGAGGGCGCCAGUCAAAUUCGAUGACGAUGAGGAGUUCGCUUGUGUUGUAUUUCCUUUUUUUAAUUUGUUGUAAUAUGAUGGAAACAGAAAAUAAUGAAUGAGCUGUAACCUAGUUUUUGAAAACAAUGAAUGCUUUUGAAACUGUUACCUAUUAACUAAGGUUUUUUGGAUGUAAAAGAGUUGUGAUGUACAUUCGCAUCUAAA